This 504-nucleotide ribosomal RNA is filed under the name uncultured bacterium. Its description in RNAcentral is "partial 16S ribosomal RNA". It matches the Rfam family "Bacterial small subunit ribosomal RNA", at positions 29 to 507 of the family's 1533-position model. The record is from RNAcentral.
ACGAACGCUGGCGGCGUGCCUAAUACAUGCAAGUAGAACGCACAGUUUAUACCGUAGCUUGCUACACCCUAGACUGUGAGUUGCGAACGGGUGAGUAACGCGUAGGUAACCUGCCUGGUAGCGGGGGAUAACUAUUGGAAACGAUAGCUAAUACCGCAUAAUAUUGAUUAUUGCAUGAUAAUUGAUUGAAAGAUGCUAUUGCAUCACUACCAGAUGGACCUGCGUUGUAUUAGCUAGUAGGUGAGGUAACGGCUCACCUAGGCGACGAUACAUAGCCGACCUGAGAGGGUGAUCGGCCACACUGGGACUGAGACACGGCCCAGACUCCUACGGGAGGCAGCAGUAGGGAAUCUUCGGCAAUGGACGAAAGUCUGACCGAGCAACGCCGCGUGAGUGAAGAAGGUUUUCGGAUCGUAAAGCUCUGUUGUAAGAGAAGAACGGGUGUGAGAGUGGAAAGUUCACACUGUGACGGUAUCUUACCAGAAAGGGACGGCUAACUACGUG